GAUGAACGCUGGCGGCGUGCCUAAUACAUGCAAGUCGAGCGAACGGACGAGAAGCUUGCUUCUCUGAUGUUAGCGGCGGACGGGUGAGUAACACGUGGAUAACCUACCUAUAAGACUGGGAUAAAUUCGGGAAACCGGAGCUAAUACCGGAUAAUAUUUUGAACCGCAGGGUUCAAAAGUGAAAGACGGUCUUGCUGUCACUUAUAGAUGGAUCCGCGCUGCAUUAGCUAGUUGGUAAGGUAACGGCUUACCAAGGCAACGAUGCAUAGCCGACCUGAGAGGGUGAUCGGCCACACUGGAACUGAGACACGGUCCAGACUCCUACGGGAGGCAGCAGUAGGGAAUCUUCCGCAAUGGGCGAAAGCCUGACGGAGCAACGCCGCGUGAGUGAUGAAGGUCUUCGGAUCGUAAAACUCUGUUAUUAGGGAAGAACAUAUGUGUAAGUAACUGUGCACAUCUUGACGGUACCUAAUCAGAAAGCCCCGGCUAACUACGUG
RNAcentral lists this ribosomal RNA (497 nucleotides) under uncultured bacterium. Its description in RNAcentral is "partial 16S ribosomal RNA". It matches the Rfam family "Bacterial small subunit ribosomal RNA", at positions 28 to 507 of the family's 1533-position model. The record is from RNAcentral.